AGUGAACGCUGGCGGCAGGCCUAACACAUGCAAGUCGAGCGGCAGCGGGUCCCCGCGAGGGGAUGCCGGCGAGCGGCGGACGGGUGAGGAACACAUCGGAAUCUGCCUGGUUGUGGGGGAUAACGUAGGGAAACUUACGCUAAUACCGCAUGCGACCCUGAGUCGACGGACUUGGGGUGAAAGUGAGGGACCUUCGGGCCUCACGCGACCAGAUGAACCGAUGUCGGAUUAGCAGUUGGCGGGGUAACGGCCCGCCAAGGCGACGAUCCGUAGCUGGUCUGAGAGGAUGAUCAGCCACACUGGGACUGAGACACGGCCCAGACUCCUACGGGAGGCAGCAGUGGGGAAUCUUGGACAAUGGGCGCAAGCCUGAUCCAGCCAUGCCGCGU
Molecule: ribosomal RNA, 389 nt
Filed under: uncultured bacterium
Lineage: Bacteria
Description: bacterial SSU rRNA
Rfam family: Bacterial small subunit ribosomal RNA
Source: RNAcentral